GCCAAGUCGUGAGGCGGAGCUAAUCCCUUAAAGCCAUUCUCAGUUCGGAUUGUAGGCUGAAACUCGCCUACAUGAAGCUGGAGUUACUAGUAAUCGCAGAUCAGAAUGCUGCGGUGAAUGCGUUCCCGGGUCUUGUACACACCACCCGUCACACCACGGAAGUUGGGGGCGCCCGAAGCCACUUAGCUAACCCUUUUGGGAAGCGAGUGUCGAAGGUGAAAUCAAUAACUGGGGUGAAGUCGUAACAAGGUAUC
RNAcentral lists this ribosomal RNA (254 nucleotides) under uncultured bacterium. RNAcentral describes it as "partial 16S ribosomal RNA". It matches the Rfam family "Bacterial small subunit ribosomal RNA", at positions 1249 to 1500 of the family's 1533-position model. The record is from RNAcentral.